AACUUUUAGCAAUGGAUCUCUUGGCUCUCGCAUCGAUGAAGAACGCAGCGAAAUGCGAUAAGCAAUGUGAAUUGCAGAAUUCAGUGAAUCAUCGAAUCUUUGAACGCACCUUGCGCCCUUUGGCUAUUCUGAAGGGCAUGCCUGUUUGAGUAUCAUGAACACCUCAACUCCUCAUGGUUUGCCAUGAUGAGCUUGGACUUUGGGGGUCUUGCUGGCCUAUGGUUGGCUCCUCUCAAAUGGAUCAGCUUGCCAGUGUUUGGUGGCACCACAGGUGUGAUAAAUAUCUACGCUUGUGGUGUUCCACUAUGCAACCUUCAGCAAUGAAGGUUCACUGGAGCUCACAAAUGUCUCUCCUCAUCGAGGACAGCUUUUUAAAGUUUGAUCUCAAAUCAGGUAGGAUUACCCGCUGAACUUAAGCAUAUCAAUAAGCGGAGGCU
This 437-nucleotide unclassified non-coding RNA is filed under the name uncultured Thelephoraceae. RNAcentral describes it as "sequence contains ITS2". The stretch from base 1 to 155 matches the Rfam family "5.8S ribosomal RNA". Lineage: Eukaryota; Fungi; Basidiomycota; Agaricomycetes; Thelephorales; Thelephoraceae. The record is from RNAcentral.